RNAcentral lists this ribosomal RNA (840 nucleotides) under uncultured Treponema sp. RNAcentral describes it as "partial 23S ribosomal RNA". It matches the Rfam family "Bacterial large subunit ribosomal RNA", at positions 978 to 1811 of the family's 2925-position model. The record is from RNAcentral. Lineage: Bacteria; Pseudomonadati; Spirochaetota; Spirochaetia; Treponematales; Treponemataceae.
UGGGAGUGAGACUGCGGGCGACAAGGUUCGUAGUCGAGAGGGAAACAGCCCAGACCGACAGCUAAGGUCCCAAAUACCGUUAAGUGUGAAAUGAUGUGUGAUUGCGAAGACAGCCAGGAGGUUGGCUUAGAAGCAGCCAUUCCUUAAAAGAGUGCGUAAUAGCUCACUGGUCGAGUAAUGAUGCGCAGACAAUGUAACGGGGCUUAAGCGGUAUACCGAAGCUACGGAUUCAGCACAUAAGUGUGGAUGGUAGGGGAGCAUUCCAUGGACCGAAGAAGGUAAACUGUAAGGUUUGCUGGAGGGGGUGGAAGAGAGAAUGCAGGUAUAAGUAGACGAAAAGACGGGUGAGAUCCCCGUCCGCCGAAAGCAUAAGGAUUCCUGGGUAAAGGUCAUCUGCCCAGGGUAAGUCGGCCCCUAAGGUGAGGACGAAAGUCGUAAUCGAUGGGAAACUGGUUCAUAUUCCAGUACCUUAUUAAGUUUGAGGGGAUGACGCAUGAGGUGAAACCCGGCCGGGCGACGGUUGUCGUGGUCGAAGCAGCGAGUUGAUGAUUCCGGCAUGGCAAAUCCACCGGAGAGCAUGAGCUGUGACAGCGAGUGGAUCUACGGAGAAGAGAAGCGGGCGUAAUCAGGUGCCAAGAAAUAAUCUCUAAGUCUAGGCUUAAUAAGAACCGUACCGUAAACCGACACAGGUACGCGGGAUGAGAAAUAUCAGGCGCUCGAGAGAACUCGCGUUAGGAACUGACAAAAUACAUAUGUAAAUUCGGGAGAAGUAUGACCAUCUUUCGUUUAGCAAUAAGUUAAGGGGGGGCACAGAGCAGUCCCAGGCGACUGUUUAUCAAA